UGAGGAAUUUUGCGCAAUGGGGGGAACCCUGACGCAGCAACGCCGCGUGAGCGAAGAAGGCCUUCGGGUUGUAAAGCUCUGUCAGGGGGAAAGAAGGCACCUGGGUUAAUAGCCCAAGGGCUGACGGUACCCCCAAAGGAAGCCACGGCUAACUACGUGCCAGCAGCCGCGGUAAUACGUAGGUGGCGAGCGUUGUCCGGAAUCAUUGGGCGUAAAGAGCGCGUAGGUGGCUUGUCAGGUCCGAUGUGAAAACCUGGGGCUCAACUCCAGGCCUGCAUCGGAAACCGGCUUGCUAGAGUCUGGGAGAGGAGAGUGGAAUUCCUGGUGUAGCGGUGAAAUGCGUAGAUAUCAGGAGGAACACCGGUAGCGAAGGCGGCUCUCUGGAACAGUACUGACGCUGAGGCGCGAAAGCUAGGGGAGCGAACA
Molecule: ribosomal RNA, 426 nt
Filed under: uncultured prokaryote
Description: bacterial SSU rRNA
Rfam family: Bacterial small subunit ribosomal RNA
Source: RNAcentral